Paramuricea clavata is the source of this 202-nucleotide non-coding RNA. NCBI's taxonomy places the organism in Eukaryota, Metazoa, Cnidaria, Anthozoa, Malacalcyonacea, Plexauridae. The record is from the annotation of a GenBank genome assembly.
GAUAUUGACGAGUGCUCAAAACCGAAUAACUGUAGUCAGCUGUGCAAUAAUACAGUCGGCUCAUAUGAAUGUUACUGCAGGAUCGGAUUUUUAAUCAAUUCUGAUAACCCCACAACCUGCACAGGUAAAUAUUCAAACGAUUUUGAUUUCUGCUCCAUAUCAUCUGACACGACUAAUGAACCUAUUUCAUUUACACACAAAA